Molecule: ribosomal RNA, 402 nt
Filed under: uncultured bacterium
Lineage: Bacteria
Description: bacterial SSU rRNA
Rfam family: Bacterial small subunit ribosomal RNA
Source: RNAcentral
GAUGAACGCUAGCGGCAGGCUUAACACAUGCAAGUCGAGGGGCAGCGCGAUGUAGCAAUACAUUGGCGGCGACCGGCGCACGGGUGCGUAACACGUAUGGAACUUACCCUUUACUGGGAGAUAGCCCGGAGAAAUCCGGAUUAAUAUCCCAUAAUAAACCGAAGUGGCAUCACUUUGUUUGAAAGCUCCGGCGGUAAAGGAUGGCCAUGCGCACGAUUAGCUAGUAGGUGAGGUAACGGCUCACCUAGGCUACGAUCGUUAGGGGGCCUGAGAGGGUUAUCCCCCACACUGGUACUGAGACACGGACCAGACUCCUACGGGAGGCAGCAGUGAGGAAUAUUGCGCAAUGGAGGCAACUCUGACGCAGCCAUGCCCGNGUGCAGGAAGAAGGCGCUACGCGUU